GUAGUCUGCAACUCGAGUACAUGAAGCUGGAAUCGCUAGUAAUCGCAAAUCAGAAUGUUGCGGUGAAUACGUUCCCGGGCCUUGUACACACCGCCCGUCGCACCAUGGGAGUUGGAAGCACCCGAAGUCGAUGACCUAACCGCGAGGGAGGAGUCGCCGAAGGUGAAGCCAGUGACGUGGGGUGAAGUCGUAACAAGGUACC
RNAcentral lists this ribosomal RNA (202 nucleotides) under uncultured bacterium. Its description in RNAcentral is "partial 16S ribosomal RNA". It matches the Rfam family "Bacterial small subunit ribosomal RNA", at positions 1300 to 1500 of the family's 1533-position model. The record is from RNAcentral.